GUAGUCUCGCACAGAUGCAUAUCAAUAAGCGGAGGAAAAGAAACUAACAAGGAUUCCCUCAGUAACGGCGAGUGAAGCGGGAAGAGCUCAAAUUUGAAGUCUUGAAAGGUCACCUUUCACGAAUUGUAGUUUAAAGAAGUGUUUUCUGUUACGAUCGUAAUAUAAGUUCUUUGGAAUAGGACAUCACAGAGGGUGAGAAUCCCGUCUAUGAUUGCGAUUUGUAGCUUUGUGAUACACUUUCAAAGAGUCGGGUUGUUUGGGAAUGCAGCCCAAAACGGGAGGUAAAUUUCUUCUAAGGCUAAAUAUUGGCGAGAGACCGAUAGCGAACAAGUACCGUGAGGGAAAGAUGAAAAGAACUUUGAAAAGAGAGUUAAAUAGUACGUGAAAUUGUCAAAAGGGAAGCGUUUAACACCAGUGUUGUUUUCUGAAAAUCAACCUCUGUUAGCUUUAUGCAUGUUUGUUUAGACCUAAUCAGCUAUCUUGCAUGUUCUAUUGUUUGCAGUGGUGCACUUUUCAGUUUACAGGUCAACAUCAGUUUUUUUUACCGUAAAAAAGUUAAAGAAAGGUAGCUCAUGGCUCCGGUCGUGAGUGUUAUAGUCUUUUUCCUAUGCGGUAGGAGAGACUGAGGUCUGCAGUGUAGGCUAUUUGGCUAGAUACUCAGGUGCUAUGUGAUACCAUUUCAUAAACAACUUGUUGAUUAUGUUUUGUCUAUUGCAUACUCGCUUGUACUAUCAUACCUACGCUUAGGAUGUUGAAGAUGUAGCACAUCAU
RNAcentral lists this ribosomal RNA (771 nucleotides) under uncultured Neocallimastigales. RNAcentral's name for it is "partial large subunit ribosomal RNA". It matches the Rfam family "Eukaryotic large subunit ribosomal RNA", at positions 24 to 635 of the family's 3401-position model. The record is from RNAcentral. Lineage: Eukaryota; Fungi; Neocallimastigomycota; Neocallimastigomycetes; Neocallimastigales.